This 465-nucleotide ribosomal RNA is filed under the name uncultured bacterium. Its description in RNAcentral is "partial 16S ribosomal RNA". It matches the Rfam family "Bacterial small subunit ribosomal RNA", at positions 338 to 795 of the family's 1533-position model. The record is from RNAcentral.
CCUACGGGAGGCAGCAGUGGGGAAUAUUGCGCAAUGGGCGAAAGCCUGACGCAGCGACGCCGCGUGAGGGAUGAAGGUCUUCGGAUCGUAAACCUCUGUCAGCAGGGAAGAACGGUCACUGUGCUAAUCAGCAGUGAAUUGACGGUACCUGCAAAGGAAGCACCGGCUAACUCCGUGCCAGCAGCCGCGGUAAUACGGAGGGUGCGUGCGUUAAUCGGAAUUACUGGGCGUAAAGCGAUCGUAGGCGGUAUGUCAAGUCAAGGGUGAAAUCCCCGCGCUCAACGUGGGAACUGCAUUUGAUACUGGCAAACUGGAGUGUGUGAGAGGAGAGUGGAAUUCCAGGUGUAGGAGUGAAAUCCGUAGAUAUCUGGAGGAACAUCAGUGGCGAAGGCUACUAUCUGGAACAUAACUGACGCUGAGGAGCGAAAGCGUGGGUAGCAAACAGGAUUAGAUACCCCUGUAGUC